Corticium candelabrum is the source of this 1197-nucleotide long non-coding RNA. RefSeq lists it as uncharacterized. The record is from RefSeq and is a predicted model, not a curated record. Lineage: Eukaryota; Metazoa; Porifera; Homoscleromorpha; Homosclerophorida; Plakinidae. The transcript has 4 exons.
AUAAAACGCUUUGGAACGAGGAUCCAUUCUGCCGUACUAGCGAUUGCUCGCAGGAUUGGAACGAAAUCUCCCGUGCAAGUGCUGGGAAUUCUGCAUCAACUUGAAGACAGAGCAAGCUACACGUACGGGAUGACCACUUUAGCCGAUGUCUUCUUGCACAGGCAGACAGACAGGUUGUAACAGACAGGUAGAGAGCCUAGGGUUCGUAGAGAGCCUAGUAGCAGUUGAUAUCAAAUAGUGCAAGGUGACAGUGUAAAUUAUUCAUCAUGCAGACAGGUAGCUGGAAAUGUUCUCAGACCCAUAUAAAGACUGACUCAAAGGGCAAUUGAUGGAAAUUAUGCAGCAAGUUUUGCAUGUCAUCUGGAAAGAGAAGAAUUUCUCACACAACUUGCAGAAGAACUAACAGAUGAGGAUGAGUUAGCAGAUGAAGAAUCUGAGGCAAAGAAACUAAUAGCUGAAGAAGAGAGAGCAUUCCUUGACGAAACACACAGAACAUAUGCAUCACAGACCGGCGUCCUUAACCCUUAUAACCUCAUGAAAUAUUCAAGAAGAAUGUAUGCUGAUUUGUUGCCAGAUCAGGAAGAAGACAUCGUACUUCCUGCUGAGACAUUGUGGUUCUUGGAAAAGAAAAUGUGGACUUUCUGGGGCUAAUAUUGAAAGAAGCACAUUGGAUGUAAGGUCCUCAAGCAACUCCAAAUUAUUUUUAUGCUAAGCAAGAAAACCGGUGUGGGGUGACCCACAGAGAUUUACACUGAGAACUAAAUCGGAGGUGAUAUGCGCUGCGAUGCAGACAGUCCCAAAUCGUGAUUUGGACACAUUCUUUAGCAGAAUAGCUAAGUGUAGCAUGACCCCAUUUAAUACCGAAGUACGUAAUACAUCUAGUGACGAAGACGAUUCAGUGAAGAACGUGCAGGUAGGUAAACGACAAUGAUGACUGACUAAACUGGAGAAAUCAGCUACUAUUGCAACACGAAAGCUCUUCUAUAUAUAUAAGAGACAGACAACAUCUGUUGGUAGGGUAUACCACUCUUUACAAUUGUAUGCAUAUAGUCAUUAUUCAAUUGUACUAACUUGUUGUUUGAGUUGAAAUCUGUUCUGGAGCAACUUUACCACAGACGCGCCAUACUGAUAAUGCUUCAACUAUGUGUCUCUCCAGUAUCACAUAAUCAAUGACAUCACGCUCUUUCCAGUCAUCCC